CACCCAACGAACAAAACAAACAAAGUACCUUCCCCUUCCUCAACUCCACGUCUCUGAAUUUUUCUUUCUCUUUCUCUCUCUUUCCUAUUCCUUGCUUGCAUGACUUGCCAAGACCCAUUCAAUCUCAAAACAACUUUCAAGAAAACUCAUCCAACAACCCCAUCACCUUCUCUCUUUCUCUCUUAAAUCUCUCUCUCUCUCUCUCUCUCUCUCUCUCUCUCUCUCUGUGUUUCUCUUUCACAUGCCAUUUCCUUCCUCUCACAGUAGCCAUGUCCACCCUCUUCUUCCUCUUCUUCACCAUUUCCAUCUUCUCUUUCCUCCCCUUCUCUUCCCUCUCUCAGCCCCCACCACCACCCAAAGCUAUUCGGAUUGAUUGCGGUGCCAUCGGAAAAUCUGAAUACGACGGAAACUUAUGGCUUCCCGAUGCUCAAUUUGUCUCCGCUGGGACCCCCAAGGUCAUCACCACGCCCGUUAGUGUUCCUAUCCUCUCCACCCUCCGAUCAUUUCCUCUUCUGAACAAUAGAAACAAGAAGUUCUGCUACACCGUCAAUGUUUACCACGGAGCCAAGUACAUGGUCCGGACGACAUACUACUACGGAGGGAUCAACGGCAAGGAUUCCCCACCUGUUUUUGAUCAGAUGGUGGAUGGGACUCUAUGGAGCGAGGUCAAUACGACAGCGGAUUAUGCCGACGGACUGUCGUCACCCUAUGAAGGGGUUUUCCUUGCUCAGGGGAAGACCAUGAGCGUGUGCAUUGGGGCCAAUAAUUAUACGGAUUCGGAUCCUUUCAUAUCGGCUUUAGAAUUUGUUAUAUUGAAAGACUCUUUCUACAAUACCACCGAUUUUAACAAGUACGGUCUGGGUUUGGUCGCUCGGAAUUCUUUUGGGUACAGUGGACCUAUAAUCCGAUAUCCUGAUGAUGAAUUUGAUCGAUCUUGGGCACCAUUUGGAAAAUCCAAUCCAACAAGCAAUAGAAAUGUAUCUGUUUCUGGUUUUUGGAAUCACCCUCCUGCGAAAAUUUUCCAGACAGAGUUAACUUCAGGCCAAUCAAAACCCUUGGAUUUGGAUUGGCCACCAUUUUCUCUUCAAAACUCAACCUACUACAUUGCCUUGUACUUUGCACAUGACAGCAAUUCAUCAAGAGAGAGCUCAAGGAUGUUCAAUAUCAGCAUAAAUGGUAUCACAUAUUACAGCAAUCUAAACGUGACUCCAGCUGGCCUUGUUGUCUUUGCAACCCAAUGGCCUCUUUCUGGUCAUACAAGGUUGACUUUGACACCAUCUGUUGACUCUAAAUUUGGUCCCUCCAUUAAUGGCGGCGAGGUGUUUGGAUUGCUAACUCUGGGAGGAAGAACAGUUACCCGAGACGUUAUUGCUUUGGUAAAAUUUAGAGAUAAACUUCAGAACCCUCCAGUUGAUUGGAAUGGUGAUCCUUGUUACCCUCAAAAGUAUUCGUGGACUGGGGUUACAUGCGCAGAAGGCAAAGGCAACCAAACUCGUGUGGUCUCUUUAAACCUGACAGGAAUGGGACUCUCUGGAUCAGUAUCAGCUAGCGUUGCCAAUUUGACCGCAUUGACUGACAUCUUGCUUGGGAAUAACAGAUUGUCUGGAACUAUUCCUGAUCUAAGUUCAUUGAAGUUUAUUAGGAAGUUACAUUUGGAGGACAAUCAGUUCAAUGGAGAGAUUCCCUCAUCGCUUGGGAAAAUUGAAAAAUUGCAGGAACUAUUGGAGCAGCCAAUGAAGAAGAAGGAGGAGGAAUCAGCAGUGUCUGAAUGGGCUAGGUGCCAUCACUGUCCAACAGUUUCUACUUUGUUUCAGUCUGUCUGAGUCUUGCCUGGCUUCUUCUCUGUUGGGCUAUGUGGCUUUUCUCUACGGCCUUUGGCUACUUACAAAACAAUAAUUUGACUGGUCAAAUUCCAAAAAGCCUUCUUGGAAGGUCUGGUUUGGAUCUAAGGACUUUUGGAAAUCCACUUUCGGCACCUCCACCUCAUUGAGAAGCUAGUCUAUGGAUUCAAAAGUAAAAAAGUCACAUGGUUUUGCUUUAUGUAACAAAAUUGAAAACCCAAUUGAACUUUUGGCCGUAAAUAUUUAUUGUCACAUGUGAGCGCUAUAGUCUUUUUCCCUUUAUAUUUUUUUUCCCCUUCAUAUUUGUAAAACCGAUUGUUCAUACAGAGUCAGCCAUUCUUUAUUUCUUGGUUCUUACUCUGAAAUUGUAUCUUAUAGUUUGUCCAAAUACUAAUUUCUCAAAUUACGAUCCUCUUAAUUUGUAUAGUAUGAA
RNA transcript from Ziziphus jujuba (common jujube), 2274 nucleotides. It is a transcript of the gene named leucine-rich repeat receptor-like serine/threonine-protein kinase At2g14510, with no coding region annotated. The record is from RefSeq and is a predicted model, not a curated record. NCBI's taxonomy places the organism in Eukaryota, Viridiplantae, Streptophyta, Magnoliopsida, Rosales, Rhamnaceae. The transcript has 10 exons.